Molecule: long non-coding RNA, 1528 nt
Filed under: Cricetulus griseus (Chinese hamster)
Lineage: Eukaryota; Metazoa; Chordata; Mammalia; Rodentia; Cricetidae
Description: lncRNA (ENSCGRG00015032049.1)
Source: RNAcentral
UCAAUUAAAACAAGCUUUUUUAUUUGUGUCCAUGGAUUACCUUCCCCUAAGGCAGGGUUCUAGAGGUCAGCCUUGGAUGUGAGGAAGACAAGGCUUUUACAAUUCGGGCAGAGGGUUUCAAGUGGGGGUUGGUGGCAAAAUCGGUGGGGUUACAGGAGCAGAGCAUCAUAACAAGUUGGUCCUAAUGAUCCCGUGAAACAAAGAUACAGUUGCAAGGUGGGUACAACAGGGUGGUUAUAACAACAGGUAGUCAUAACAACCUUUCGAAACAAAGAUAGAGUUGCAAGGUGGGCAUAACAAGGUGGUUAUAACAACAGGUAGUCAUAACAACCUUUCGAAACAAAGAUAGAGUUGCAAGGUGGGCACAACAGGGUGGUUAUAACAACAGGCAGUCAUAACAACCUUUCAGAAACAAAGACAGAGUUGCAAGGUGGGCACAACAGGGUGGUUAUAACAACAGGUAGUCAUAACAACCUUUUGAAACAAAGAUAGAGUUGCAAGACAGUUAUAACAACUUUUUGAAAUAAAGACAUGAUUGUCAUUCCUGGGACAGGCAGUACAGAACCAUUUGUAGUUAAGGUUUAGGUGGGGCAUGGCCCAAUCCUUGAGAAACAGAGGUUUGAUUAUAAAUAGGAAGGAACCUAAUUUGUCUUUAUUGUAAGCCUAAAAUGGAGGCAGGCUGGUUCUUCACUCUCCCUUGUCCUAUGCGUCCCUGUCAAGUCCUUGAUAGGGUCUUAGCAUUCUUUAUCUGGGAAAACAAAAUUUGCAUUGCAUCAAAAGAUGCACUGUUCAUUAAUAAAUUGUUCCUGUUUGGUUAGCAUAGAUAGAACAAAUAUUUUAAGACCAUAUACUCUUGGUAUGUCAAUAGGUACUAUAGUUAGCCAUCUUGUCCCUUUGCCAGGGAAUAUCCUUGGACUUAAUAUUCCAGUACAAGGGGUGCUGUAUUUUUCUUCUGAAACUACUUCUGGAUGAAAUUAAGACACCAUUGUCAGGGCUCAGGAAGGCUGGAAUGUUAGCCAAGAGCCAGGAGGGGAUUACAGCAAUGGGACAUUCAUCAGGAGCAUCGGUUCACUGCCCAGCCAAAGAAUCAGGGAGCAAUCACAUCUACUGGUCUGGUUUACAUCAGCUUUCAGCAAGUCCAGGGCUUUCCAAUUUUGUGAACUACCUGGGGAUGGGACAGUGUAGAUCACUUUUGAAGCCAGUUGUAGUUGAAAGCUGAUUUCUGGACAGUGUCUGCCAGCUGAGUGGCACUCUGCCAAAACAGACAGACUAGGGACAAAAGUUAAAGAACUUAAAGGAAACUUUAUAUUUGGCAUUUCCCCCUCAGGAAAAGGUGACAGCAGGGAAGCUCAGGCUGAUUGACAGGAGUACUUACCUGGAGUCCAUUUGACAUGUGAGAGGUGGAUUCAAGACUUACCGACUUUCUCGAUUCCUGAAAGCUUACAUUAUCAUUGUAAUUUGUCAUAACUUACUUAGACUUUAUAUCCUUAGAUGUUCAUAAUUUAAAUUAUCUUUAAACCUUUGUAAU